Molecule: long non-coding RNA, 117 nt
Organism: Carassius auratus (goldfish)
Lineage: Eukaryota; Metazoa; Chordata; Actinopteri; Cypriniformes; Cyprinidae
Exons: 3
Source: RefSeq, a predicted model, not a curated record
GAUUUGGAUGGAAUUCGUCAGCAAACAACUGGGACAUUCUUUAGCAACAGCCAGUUCAUACACAACUGGAGAGGAAGACGCAGGGAUUUAUUCAACCAUCGACUCCUUGAAACCCCC